AGGCCACUUCAAGGCUGUAUCCAAUGCUCAUUGCAGGAAACAUGAUAUUUCGUCUUAGUUUCUGUUCCCAUGGCUUCCCAAGUCAGUGGGUUACUCCAUCUGCUGAUGGAGAUCUUCUGAAUUGCAGCAUAUGCCAUGAAGCCAGUGUUUCAUGGGAAUGUCUUGAAUAUGGUUACAAGAUGCAUUAUUGCCACAUAAAUGGAAUCUGACUUUGUAGUGUGUCAGCUGCUUCUGGGUUACUGUUUAUGUCUAUAGUCAACAAUAAAACAGUAAAUUUUGGGA
Lepidothrix coronata (blue-crowned manakin) is the source of this 282-nucleotide long non-coding RNA. RefSeq lists it as uncharacterized. The record is from RefSeq and is a predicted model, not a curated record. Lineage: Eukaryota; Metazoa; Chordata; Aves; Passeriformes; Pipridae. The transcript is spliced from 2 exons.